This 1375-nucleotide ribosomal RNA is filed under the name metagenome. RNAcentral's name for it is "bacterial SSU rRNA". It matches the Rfam family "Archaeal small subunit ribosomal RNA". The record is from RNAcentral.
GGUUUACAUUCAGACAUGCAAGUUUUUCCGAAAGGAAGGCGAACUGCUUAGUAACACGUAGUUAACCUCCCCUUAGGUCAGGCAUAUCCUCGGGAAACUGAGGGUAAUAACUGAUAGGAGAUGAUUUCUGGAAGGAGUUUUCUCAUAAAUUCGGGCCUAAGGAUGGGACUGCGGCUGAUUAGGUUGUUGGCGGGGUAAUGGCCCACCAAGCCGAUGAUCAGUAAGGGCUCUUAGCGGAGGGGCCCUAAGAAGGAAUCUUAGACACUAUUCCUAGCCCUACGGGGUGCAGCAGUUAGGGGUUUUCUGCAAUGCACGAAAGUGUGACAGAGCGAGCCAGAGUGUUUCUUUUAUAGAGACUUUUGUAAGCUGUAAAAAGGCUUACGAAUAAGGACUGGGCAAGACCGGUGCCAGCCGCCGCGGUAAUCCCGGCAGUCCGAGUCGCAGCCACAAUUAUUGGGUCUAAAACAUCCGUAGCUUGCUUUAUAAGUCUCUUGUGAAAUCUGGCCUCUUAAGGGUCGGACGGGCAAGAGAUACUGUAGAGCUAGAGACCGGAGGAUGUGAGGAGUACAAUCGAGGUAGUGGUAAAAUACGUUAAUCUCGAUUGGACUAACGACAGCGAAGGCACCUCACAACGACGGAUCUGACAGUGAGGGAUGAAAGCUAGGGGCGCAAAAUGGAUUAGAUACCCAUGUAGUCCUAGCAGUAAACACUGCACACUAAACAUCAGCACCUCCUCGAGAGGUGUUGGUGCUGUAGGGAAGCCGAAGAGUGUGCUACCUGGGAAGUAUAGUCGCAAGGCCGAAACUUAAAGGAAUUGGCGGGGGAGCACUACAACGGGUGACGCGUGCGGUUCAAUUAGAAUCUACACCGUGAACCUCACCAGGACCGACAGCAGAAUGAAGGUCAGUCUGAAGGGCUUACCUGACACGCUGAGAGGAGUUGCAUGGCCGACGUCAGCCUGUGCCGUGAGGUGACCUGUUAAAUCAGGUAACAGGCGAGACCCGCGUGCAUAGUUGCUAUCUGAUGAAGAAGCACUCUAUGCAGACUGCCUGGGUAACCAGGAGGAGGGUGCGGGCUACGUUAGGUGAGUACGGCCCUAAUGCCCUGGGCGACACGCGCGCGGCAAUGCUGCAUGCAGUGAGAUGCAACUCCGAAAGGAGAAGCUAAUCCCAUAAUAUGCAGCUCAGUUUAGAUUGAAGGCUGAAACUCGCCUUCAUGACACCGGAAUCCGUAGUAAUCGUUCUUUAGCAGAGAACGGUGAAUAAGUCCCUGCUCCUUGCACACACCGCCCGUCAAACCAACCGAGUUUUGCUUUGGUGAGGCUUUUCGAGGUCAAAUCUUUGUAAGACAAGGUAGGUUAAGUCGUCACAAAGUC